This 1023-nucleotide ribosomal RNA is filed under the name Triticum aestivum (bread wheat). Its description in RNAcentral is "partial small subunit ribosomal RNA". Lineage: Eukaryota; Viridiplantae; Streptophyta; Magnoliopsida; Poales; Poaceae. The record is from RNAcentral.
AUGGAGUUUUCGCUGUCUGAACUCGAACAUUUGAGUUCAGACUUAUUUGCUUGGCACUGGCUCCCUUCUAGUGGGAGCGCAGGCCACUCGGGUGGUAUCCUUCUAGGUGUCAAGGAUGCCACCUUUGAGGUUGGUAGCAUGGACCGUGGUGAGUUCUUCGUCAGCAUGGAAAUCUUUGAGCGGGCCCUCAACUUCAAAUGGGAGGUCAUUGCCGUUUAUGGACCGGCGGACCAUAGCCGCUCAGAGACCUUCCUCGCUGAGAUCCGAGCGAAAGUCUUGGCCGCCCAGCUUCCGGUAGUGUUGGGUGGAGACUUUAACCUCAUCCAGUCCGAGGAGGAUAAAAGCAAUAAUUUGGUCAACUUUCCCCGGAUGCAAAUGUUUAACGACUGCAUCGCGGAAAUGGGGCUCCGGGAACUUGAUAGGGUCGGCGCCAGAUUCACCUGGACUAACUGCCAGGCCGGCCCGACUUGGUCGGUCCUAGACCGGGUGUUUGUCUCCCCGGAAUGGGACUUGCGGUGCCCCCUCGCGUCGCUGCGCGCGAUUACUAGGAUCGGUUCCGACCAUGACCCUCUACUUCUCUCCUCUGAGAACGAGCGACCCCCCCAACCACCCCGCUUUCAUUUUGAGACAUUCUGGCUGAAUAAGCCCGGGUUCGCUGCUGCGGUUGCCGCUCGGUGGUGGGAGGCUCGGGAGACACCCCACCGCUCCCUCUCGGCCGUCGACUCCUGGCAUUUUUGUGCUAAACGGUCGCGCCAAUUCAUGAAAGGGUGGGGUGCUAAAUUAGGCCGCGACCUCCGCGAGCGGAAGAUAACUCUUCUUGAGGGCAUCCAGGCACUAGACCUUCGGGCAGAUGCCGCGGGCCUCUCGGCUGAGGAAUGGAUGCUUAGAUACGACUUGGAAGAUCAACUCACGAUCAUUUACACGGACGAGGAGGCAUUCUGGCGCCUCCGAGGUACGCAGAAUUGGGUCCUCAAGGGGGACGCCAAUACAGCUUACUUUCAGGCAAUCGCCAACGGCCGCUGA